GAUGAACGCUGGCGGCGUGCCUAACACAUGCAAGUCGAACGGAAGUAUAAAGGAAGCUUGCGAAUUUAUACUUUAGUGGCGGACGGGUGAGUAACGCGUGGGUAAUCUGCCUUCAAGUGGGGGACAACUCCGGGAAACUGGAGCUAAUACCGCAUAAGCUGCGCAAGCAGUAAAGGUGGCCUCUGAAUAUGCUAUCGCUUGGAGAUGAGCCCGCGUCUGAUUAGCUAGUUGGUGGGGUAAGAGCCUACCAAGGCGACGAUCAGUAGCCGGCCUGAGAGGGUGAACGGCCACACUGGGACUGAGAUACGGCCCAGACACCUACGGGUGGCAG
This 331-nucleotide ribosomal RNA is filed under the name uncultured Bacillota bacterium. Its description in RNAcentral is "bacterial SSU rRNA". It matches the Rfam family "Bacterial small subunit ribosomal RNA", at positions 28 to 351 of the family's 1533-position model. Lineage: Bacteria; Bacillati; Bacillota. The record is from RNAcentral.